This 457-nucleotide ribosomal RNA is filed under the name uncultured Rhodoferax sp. Its description in RNAcentral is "bacterial SSU rRNA". It matches the Rfam family "Bacterial small subunit ribosomal RNA", at positions 925 to 1382 of the family's 1533-position model. Lineage: Bacteria; Pseudomonadati; Pseudomonadota; Betaproteobacteria; Burkholderiales; Comamonadaceae. The record is from RNAcentral.
ACAAGCGUGGAUGAUGUGGUUUAAUUCGAUGACAACGCGAAAACCUUACCCACCUUUGACAUGUACGGAAGCCUUUAGAGAUAGAGGCGUGCUCGAAAGAGAGCCGUAACACAGGUGCUGCAUGGCUGUCGUCAGCUCGUGUCGUGAGAUGUUGGGUUAAGUCCCGCAACGAGCGCAACCCUUGUCAUUAGUUGCUACAUUCAGUUGGGCACUCUAAUGAGACUGCCGGUGACAAGCCGGAGGAAGGUGGGGAUGACGUCAAGUCCUCAUGGCCCUUAUAGGUGGGGCUACACACGUCAUACAAUGGCUGGUAUAAAGGGUUGCCAACCCGCGAGGGGGAGCUAAUCCCAUAAAGCCAGUCGUAGUCCGGAUUGGAGUCUGCAACUCGACUCCAUGAAGCCGGAAUCGCUAGUAAUCGUGGAUCAGCAUGCCACGGUCGAAUACGUUCCCGGGCCUU